CCCUUAGAUGUUCUGGGCCGCACGCGCGCUACACUGGUGCGUUCAACAAGUUUACAACCUUGAUUGACAAGUCUGGGUAAUCUUUUGAAUGCGCACCGUGCUAGGGAUAGAUUAUUGCAAUUAUUAAUCUUGAACGAGGAAUUCCUAGUAAACGCAAGUCAUCAGCUUGCAUUGAUUACGUCCCUGCCCUUUGUACACACCGCCCGUCGCACCUACUGAUUGAAUGGUCCGGUGAAAUCUCGGGACGGCGGCUUGGUCGCUUGCGUCCGACUGCUGAAACUUGAUUAAACCAUAUCAUUUAGAGGAAGGUGAAGUCGUAACA
RNAcentral lists this ribosomal RNA (322 nucleotides) under uncultured eukaryote. RNAcentral describes it as "partial 18S ribosomal RNA". It matches the Rfam family "Eukaryotic small subunit ribosomal RNA", at positions 1470 to 1796 of the family's 1831-position model. The record is from RNAcentral.